UCCCUGGUGACUCAGAUGGUAAAGCGUCUGCCUGCAAUGCGGGAGACCCAGGUUCGGUUCCUGGGUUGGGAA
RNAcentral lists this transfer RNA (72 nucleotides) under Bos taurus (domestic cattle). It matches the Rfam family "tRNA". From Rfam's summary of the family: Transfer RNA (tRNA) molecules are approximately 80 nucleotides in length. Their secondary structure includes four short double-helical elements and three loops (D, anti-codon, and T loops). RNAcentral also lists the same sequence under 2 other names. The record is from Rfam by way of RNAcentral. Lineage: Eukaryota; Metazoa; Chordata; Mammalia; Artiodactyla; Bovidae.